Molecule: small nuclear RNA, 144 nt
Filed under: Mus musculus (house mouse)
Lineage: Eukaryota; Metazoa; Chordata; Mammalia; Rodentia; Muridae
Description: U2 spliceosomal RNA
Rfam family: U2 spliceosomal RNA
About the family: U2 is a small nuclear RNA (snRNA) component of the spliceosome (involved in pre-mRNA splicing). Complementary binding between U2 snRNA (in an area lying towards the 5' end but 3' to hairpin I) and the branchpoint sequence (BPS) of the intron results the bulging out of an unpaired adenosine, on the BPS, which initiates a nucleophilic attack at the intronic 5' splice site, thus starting the first of two transesterification reactions that mediate splicing.
Source: Rfam by way of RNAcentral
AUCGCUUCUCGGCCUUUUGGCUAAGAUCAAGUGUAGUUAUGCAUUCAAUACAUAGACAUCACACACACAUUGACAGAUGUGGUAGUAUAUUUAUUAUGACUGUUAGUUUUAUUUCAAAUAUGCAUUAUUAUGAAAUAUUAUUGC